This 468-nucleotide ribosomal RNA is filed under the name uncultured bacterium. RNAcentral describes it as "bacterial SSU rRNA". It matches the Rfam family "Bacterial small subunit ribosomal RNA", at positions 330 to 796 of the family's 1533-position model. The record is from RNAcentral.
UCCAGACUCCUACGGGAGGCAGCAGUGGGGAAUAUUGGUCAAUGGGCGGGAGCCUGAACCAGCCAAGUCGCGUGAGGGAAGACGGUCCUAUGGAUUGUAAACCUCUUUUGUCGGGGAGCAAAGAGGCCACGUGUGGUCAAAAGCGAGAGUACCCGAAGAAAAAGCAUCGGCUAACUCCGUGCCAGCAGCCGCGGUAAUACGGAGGAUGCGAGCGUUAUCCGGAUUUAUUGGGUUUAAAGGGUGCGUAGGCGGGACGGUAAGUCAGCGGUAAAAAUGCGGAGCUCAACUCCGGCGAGCCGUUGAAACUGCCGUUCUUGAGUGAGCGAGAAGUAUGCGGAAUGCGUGGCGUAGCGGUGAAAUGCAUAGAUAUCACGAAGAACUCCGAUUGCGAAGGCAGCCUACUAAACUGCCACUGACAUUGAUGCUCGAAAGUGUGGGUAUCAAACAGGAUUAGAUACCCUCGUAACC